Molecule: ribosomal RNA, 255 nt
Filed under: uncultured bacterium
Lineage: Bacteria
Description: partial 16S ribosomal RNA
Rfam family: Bacterial small subunit ribosomal RNA
Source: RNAcentral
GACGAACCACACAAACGUUAUUCGGAAUUACUGGGCUUAAAGGGUGCGUAGGCUGCGCAGAAAGAUUGGGUGUGAAAUGCCUACGGCUCAACCGAGGAACUGCGCCCAAAACUACUGUGCUUGAGGGAGAUAGAGGUGAGCGGAACUUAGGGUGGAGCGGUGAAAUGCGUUGAUAUCCUAAGGAACACCCGUGGCGAAAGCGGCUCACUGGAUCUCUUCUGACGCUGAGGCACGAAAGCUAGGGUAGCGAACGGG